This 757-nucleotide ribosomal RNA is filed under the name Arenibacter latericius. RNAcentral describes it as "bacterial SSU rRNA". It matches the Rfam family "Bacterial small subunit ribosomal RNA", at positions 75 to 830 of the family's 1533-position model. The record is from RNAcentral. Lineage: Bacteria; Pseudomonadati; Bacteroidota; Flavobacteriia; Flavobacteriales; Flavobacteriaceae.
CUAGUUUACUAGGAGAUGGCGACCGGCGCACGGGUGAGUAACGCGUAUAGAAUCUGCCCUUUACUGGGGAAUAGCCCGAAGAAAUUUGGAUCAAUGCCCCAUGGUCCCUUAUUGUGGAUUCACGAUUAGGGUAAAGGUUACGGUAAAGGAUGACUAUGCGUCCCAUUAGUUAGUUGGUAGGGUAACGGCCUACCAAGACUGCGAUGGGUAGGGGCCCUGAGAGGGGGAUCCCCCACACUGGUACUGAGACACGGACCAGACUCCUACGGGAGGCAGCAGUGAGGAAUAUUGGACAAUGGGCGAGAGCCUGAUCCAGCCAUGCCGCGUGCAGGAAGACGGUCCUAUGGAUUGUAAACUGCUUUUAUACGGGAAGAACCUAGGGCACGUGUGCUCUACUGACGGUACCGUAAGAAUAAGGAUCGGCUAACUCCGUGCCAGCAGCCGCGGUAAUACGGAGGAUCCGAGCGUUAUCCGGAAUCAUUGGGUUUAAAGGGUCCGUAGGCGGGCCAUUAAGUCAGGGGUGAAAGUCUGCGGCUCAACCGUAGAAUUGCCUUUGAUACUGGUGGUCUUGAGUUAUGGUGAAGUAACUAGAAUAUGUGGUGUAGCGGUGAAAUGCAUAGAUAUCACAUAGAAUACCGAUUGCGAAGGCAGGUUACUAACCAUAUACUGACGCUGAUGGACGAAAGCGUGGGGAGCGAACGGGAUUAGAUACCCCGGUAGUCCACGCCGUAAACGAUGGAUACUAUCUGUCCGGCAG